AGUUGAGGAGAACGAAAAUGAGAAUCGGUAGGUGCCACAACUCUUGAAUAACCGAGUAAGCAUUGAAAAAAAAAUUAGAAAAGAGAAACAUUUGUUUUGUGAAUACGAUGUGAAAAAAAAUGAAAAUGAAUGCUUGCUUGGAAGAAAAAUAGUGAAAAACAAAAUUGAGUUGUGAAAUAAGAGUUGUGAAGGUUUCAAAUGAGAAACAAGUGGAACGAAGUUGAGAUGUGUGAAUAGCUUGUACAGUGAAUGUCUCUUUUGCAUCGGCAAGUUCGUUUUCAAUGGCCUUAGAUAUGACCCUUGUUUGUAAACCUGACCAAGCUACAACCGGAAAAGACC
This 339-nucleotide long non-coding RNA is filed under the name Lathyrus oleraceus (garden pea). RNAcentral describes it as "Pisum sativum (pea) long non-coding RNA (PSAT_LNC009302)". The record is from RNAcentral. Lineage: Eukaryota; Viridiplantae; Streptophyta; Magnoliopsida; Fabales; Fabaceae.